UAGGUCUGUAUGAAUGUGAUGUGUUAAAGCAGCAAGCACAGUUGUGCUGCGUUUUGGAUAUUUAGUUUUUUCUUUAGUUGAACACCAUCUUGGUGUUUUCAUUUAUACCAUCUAAUAUAUGACACACUGUUGUAGUAUGUAUAAUUUUGUGGUCUUUAUUUCCCUUUGUAUUCAUUUUAAGCAUCUAUUAAAUAAAUUGUUGUAUUGUGAAA
Dipodomys spectabilis (banner-tailed kangaroo rat) is the source of this 212-nucleotide long non-coding RNA. RefSeq lists it as uncharacterized. The record is from RefSeq and is a predicted model, not a curated record. The transcript has 3 exons. Lineage: Eukaryota; Metazoa; Chordata; Mammalia; Rodentia; Heteromyidae.